Molecule: long non-coding RNA, 84 nt
Organism: Sinocyclocheilus anshuiensis
Lineage: Eukaryota; Metazoa; Chordata; Actinopteri; Cypriniformes; Cyprinidae
Exons: 4
Source: RefSeq, a predicted model, not a curated record
AUGCGGAUGAGGUAAAUACACCGGCUAAUAACAGAUCCCAAGAAUGCGGAUGAGGUAAAUACACCGGCUAGUAAUGAGGAUGAG